RNAcentral lists this ribosomal RNA (436 nucleotides) under uncultured fungus. RNAcentral describes it as "eukaryotic LSU rRNA". It matches the Rfam family "Eukaryotic large subunit ribosomal RNA", at positions 1 to 432 of the family's 3401-position model. Lineage: Eukaryota; Fungi. The record is from RNAcentral.
GAUCUCAAAUCAGGUAGGACUACCCGCUGAACUUAAGCAUAUCAAUAAGCGGAGGAAAAGAAACUAACAAGGAUUCCCCUAGUAACGGCGAGUGAAGCGGGAAGAGCUCAAAUUUAAAAUCUGGCAGUGUAUUCUGUCCGAGUUGUAGUCUAGAGAAGCAUCAUCCGUGCUGGACCAUGUACAAGUCUCUUGGAACAGAGCGUCAUAGAGGGUGAGAAUCCCGUCCUUGACAUGGACUCCCAGUACUUUGUGUUGUGCUCUCAACGAGUCGAGUUGUUUGGGAAUGCAGCUCAAAAUGGGUGGUAAAUUCCAUCUAAAGCUAAAUAUUGGCGAGAGACCGAUAGCGAACAAGUACCGUGAGGGAAAGAUGAAAAGCACUUUGGAGAGAGAGUUAAACAGUACGUGAAAUUGUUGAAAUGGAAACGCUUGAAGUCAG